CCUACGGGAGGCAGCAGUGAGGAAUAUUCGUCAAUGGCCGAGAGGCUGAACCAGCCAAGUCGCGUGAGGGAAGACGGCCCUACGGGUUGUAAACCUCUUUUGUCGGGGAGCAAAGCGAGUCACGUGUGAAUCAUUGAGAGUACCCGUAGCAAAAGCAUCGGCUAACUCCGUGCCAGUAGCCGCGGUAAUACGGAGGCUGCGAGCGUUAUCCGGAUUUAUUGGGUUUAAAGGGUGCGCAGGCGGAGGUGCAAGUCAGCGGUAAAAUUGCGGGGCUAAACCCCGUACUGCCGUUGAAACUGAAUCCCUUGAGUGCGCGAGAAGUAUGCGGAAUGCGUGGUGUAGCGGUGAAAUGCAUAGAUAUCACGCAGAACUCCGAUUGCGAAGGCAGCUUACUAAACUGCCACUGACAUUGAUGCUCGAAAGUGUGGGUAUCAAACAGGAUUAGAUACCCUAGUAGUC
This 459-nucleotide ribosomal RNA is filed under the name uncultured bacterium. RNAcentral's name for it is "partial 16S ribosomal RNA". It matches the Rfam family "Bacterial small subunit ribosomal RNA", at positions 338 to 795 of the family's 1533-position model. The record is from RNAcentral.